GCAAGUCGAGCGGACCGACGGGAGCUUGCUCCCUUAGGUCAGCGGCGGACGGGUGAGUAACACGUGGGUAACCUGCCUGUAAGACUGGGAUAACUCCGGGAAACCGGGGCUAAUACCGGAUGCUUGAUUGAACCGCAUGGUUCAAUCAUAAAAGGUGGCUUUUAGCUACCACUUACAGAUGGACCCGCGGCGCAUUAGCUAGUUGGUGAGGUAACGGCUCACCAAGGCGACGAUGCGUAGCCGACCUGAGAGGGUGAUCGGCCACACUGGGACUGAGACACGGCCCAGACUCCUACGGGAGGCAGCAGUAGGGAAUCUUCCGCAAUGGACGAAAGUCUGACGGAGCAACGCCGCGUGAGUGAUGAAGGUUUUCGGAUCGUAAAACUCUGUUGUUAGGGAAGAACAAGUACCGUUCGAAUAGGGCGGCACCUUGACGGUACCUAACCAGAAAGCCACGGCUAACUACGUGCCAGCAGCCGCGGUAAUACGUAGGUGGCAAGCGUUGUCCGGAAUUAUUGGGCGUAAAGCGCGCGCAGGCGGUUUCUUAAGUCUGAUGUGAAAGCCCCCGGCUCAACCGGGGAGGGUCAUUGGAAACUGGGGAACUUGAGUGCAGAAGAGGAGAGUGGAAUUCCACGUGUAGCGGUGAAAUGCGUAGAGAUGUGGAGGAACACCAGUGGCGAAGGCGACUCUCUGGUCUGUAACUGACGCUGAGGCGCGAAAGCGUGGGGAGCGAACAGGAUUAGAUACCCUGGUAGUCCACGCCGUAAACGAUGAGUGCUAAGUGUUAGAGGGUUUCCGCCCUUUAGUGCUGCAGCAAACGCAUUAAGCACUCCGCCUGGGGAGUACGGUCGCAAGACUGAAACUCAAAGGAAUUGACGGGGGCCCGCACAAGCGGUGGAGCAUGUGGUUUAAUUCGAAGCAACGC
RNAcentral lists this ribosomal RNA (925 nucleotides) under Bacillus licheniformis. RNAcentral describes it as "bacterial SSU rRNA". It matches the Rfam family "Bacterial small subunit ribosomal RNA", at positions 57 to 962 of the family's 1533-position model. Lineage: Bacteria; Bacillati; Bacillota; Bacilli; Caryophanales; Bacillaceae. The record is from RNAcentral.